UACGUAGGGGGCGAGCGUUGUCCGGAUUUAUUGGGCGUAAAGGGCACGUAGGCGGCCAUUCAAGUCGAUCGUGAAAGCUCGGGGCUCAACCCCGAGACUGCGGUCGAUACUGGAUGGCUAGAGGCUGGUAGGGGGGUGUGGAAUUCCCGGUGUAGCGGUGGAAUGCGCAGAUAUCGGGAGGAACACCGGUGGCGAAGGCGGCACCCUGGGCCAGUCCUGACGCUGAUGUGCGAAAGCGUGGGGAG
RNAcentral lists this ribosomal RNA (245 nucleotides) under uncultured Actinomycetes bacterium. RNAcentral's name for it is "uncultured actinobacterium partial 16S ribosomal RNA". It matches the Rfam family "Bacterial small subunit ribosomal RNA", at positions 524 to 768 of the family's 1533-position model. The record is from RNAcentral. Lineage: Bacteria; Bacillati; Actinomycetota; Actinomycetes.